This 402-nucleotide ribosomal RNA is filed under the name Verrucomicrobiota bacterium. RNAcentral describes it as "Verrucomicrobia bacterium partial 16S ribosomal RNA". It matches the Rfam family "Bacterial small subunit ribosomal RNA", at positions 355 to 776 of the family's 1533-position model. Lineage: Bacteria; Pseudomonadati; Verrucomicrobiota. The record is from RNAcentral.
UGGGGAAUUUUGCACAAUGGGGGAAACCCUGAUGCAGCGACGCCGCGUGAUUUAGAAGGCCUUCGGGUUGUAAAAAUCUUUUGUAUGGGAAGAAAAUGACAGUACCAUACGAAUAAGGACCGGCUAAUUACGUGCCAGCAGCCGCGGUAAUACGUAAGGUCCGAGCGUUGUCCGGAAUCAUUGGGCGUAAAGGGUACGUAGGCGGAUAAGCAAGUUAGAAGUGAAAUCCUAUAGCUCAACUAUAGUAAGCUUUUAAAACUGCUCAUCUUGAGGUAUGGAAGGGAAAGUGGAAUUCCUAGUGUGGCGGUGAAAUGCGCAGAUAUUAGGAGGAAUACCGGUGGCGAAGGCGACUUUCUGGCCAUAUACUGACGCUGAGGUACGAAAGCGUGGGUAGCAAACAGG